UACAGAGGUCUCAAGCGUUGUUCGGAUUCAUUGGGCGUAAAGGGUGCGUAGGCGGCGCGGUAAGUCGGGUGUGAAAUUUCGGAGCUUAACUCCGAAACUGCAUUCGAUACUGCCGUGCUUGAGGACUGGAGAGGAGACUGGAAUUUACGGUGUAGCAGUGAAAUGCGUAGAGAUCGUAAGGAAGACCAGUGGCGAAGGCGGGUCUCUGGACAGUUCCUGACGCUGGGGCGCGAAGGCCAGGGGAGCAAACGGG
RNAcentral lists this ribosomal RNA (253 nucleotides) under uncultured bacterium. Its description in RNAcentral is "partial 16S ribosomal RNA". It matches the Rfam family "Bacterial small subunit ribosomal RNA", at positions 524 to 776 of the family's 1533-position model. The record is from RNAcentral.